GAUAAGGAUAGAGAAAGAGGAAAAAACCGAAGAUUUCACAUAGUACUUUUGAUCGAAAAAUCAAUCCGAUCUAUUUCGUACCCUUCGCUCAACGAGAAAAUGGAUCAGAUUCUAUAGGAUCAACCCUAUGGGACUUAAGGAAUGAUGGAAGGGAAUAAAAUAAAAUAAAAAAAAAAAAAAGAAAUAAAAAAAGAAAAGCGAGGGAAAAAAAUAAUAAAGAAAUAAGUAAAUAAAAAUGAAGUAGAAGAACCCAGAUUCCAAAUGAACAAAUUGAAACUGGAAAAGGAUCUUUCUGAUUCUCGAAGAAUGAGGGGCAAGGGA
Molecule: long non-coding RNA, 321 nt
Filed under: Citrus maxima (pomelo)
Lineage: Eukaryota; Viridiplantae; Streptophyta; Magnoliopsida; Sapindales; Rutaceae
Description: long non-coding RNA (CMAX_LNC004392)
Source: RNAcentral